RNAcentral lists this ribosomal RNA (109 nucleotides) under Caerostris darwini. The record is from RNAcentral. Lineage: Eukaryota; Metazoa; Arthropoda; Arachnida; Araneae; Araneidae.
GCCCAUACCAUGCUGAAUAUACCGGUUCUCGUUAAAUCACCGAAGUCAAGCAUCAUUGGGCGCGGUCAGUACUUGGGUGGGUGACCACCUGGGAACACCGCGUGCCGUU